This 523-nucleotide ribosomal RNA is filed under the name uncultured bacterium. RNAcentral describes it as "bacterial SSU rRNA". It matches the Rfam family "Bacterial small subunit ribosomal RNA", at positions 1 to 518 of the family's 1533-position model. The record is from RNAcentral.
AGGGUUCGAGUUCUGGCUCAGGAUGAACGCUAGCUACAGGCUUAACACAUGCAAGUCGAGGGGCAGCAUGAUCUUAGCUUGCUAAGAUUGAUGGCGACCGGCGCACGGGUGAGUAACGCGUAUCCAACCUUCCCUGUACUAGGGGAUAGCCCGGCGAAAGUCGGAUUAAUACCCUAUGUUUUCCGAAGCGGGCAUUCAAUUUGGAACAAAGGUUUACCGGUAUAGGAUGGGGGAUGCGUCUGAUUAGGUAGUAGGCGGGGUAACGGCCCACCUAGCCGACGAUCAGUAGGGGUUCUGAGAGGAAGGUCCCCCACAUUGGAACUGAGACACGGUCCAAACUCCUACGGGAGGCAGCAGUGAGGAAUAUUGGUCAAUGGACGAGAGUCUGAACCAGCCAAGUAGCGUGCAGGAUGACGGCCCUAUGGGUUGUAAACUGCUUUUAUAUAGGGAUAAAGUGAGGGACGUGUCCCUUAUUGUAGGUACUAUAUGAAUAAGGACCGGCUAAUUCCGUGCCAGCAGCCGC